UGGGGAAUCUUGCACAAUGGGGGCAACCCUGAUGCAGCGACGCCGCGUGAGCGAUGAAGCCCUUCGGGGUGUAAAGCUCUUUCGGCAGGGACGAUAAUGACGGUACCUGAAGAAGAAGCUGCGGCUAACUACGUGCCAGCAGCCGCGGUAAUACGUAGGCAGCGAGCGUUGUUCGGAGUUACUGGGCGUAAAGAGUGCGUAGGCGGUGGCCCAAGUCUGGUGUGAAAUCUCCCGGCUUAACUGGGAGGGUGCGCCGGAAACUGGGUGACUUGAGUACCGGAGAGGCAAGCGGAAUUCCUGGUGUAGCGGUGAAAUGCGUAGAUAUCAGGAGGAACACCCGUGGUGUAGACGGCUUGCUGGACGGUCACUGACGCUGAGGCACGAAAGCGUGGGGAGCAAACAGG
This 404-nucleotide ribosomal RNA is filed under the name uncultured Candidatus Solibacter sp. RNAcentral's name for it is "bacterial SSU rRNA". It matches the Rfam family "Bacterial small subunit ribosomal RNA", at positions 355 to 776 of the family's 1533-position model. Lineage: Bacteria; Pseudomonadati; Acidobacteriota; Terriglobia; Bryobacterales; Solibacteraceae. The record is from RNAcentral.